RNAcentral lists this ribosomal RNA (511 nucleotides) under uncultured bacterium. RNAcentral's name for it is "bacterial SSU rRNA". It matches the Rfam family "Bacterial small subunit ribosomal RNA", at positions 17 to 518 of the family's 1533-position model. The record is from RNAcentral.
UCCUGGCUUAGGAUGAACGCUAGCGAUAGGCCUAACACAUGCAAGUCGAGGGGCAGCACAUGAGUAGCAAUACGAUGGUGGCGACCGGCGCACGGGUGAGUAACACGUAUGCAACCUACCUUUAACAGGGGAAUAACCCGUUGAAAAACGGACUAAUACUCCAUAACACAGGGGUCCCGCAUGGGAAUAUUUGUUAAAGAUUAAUCGGUUGAAGAUGGGCAUGCGUUCCAUUAGCUUGUUGGUGAGGUAACGGCUCACCAAGGCCACGAUGGAUAGGGGAACUGAGAGGUUUAUCCCCCACACUGGAACUGAGACACGGUCCAGCCUCCUACGGGAGGCAGCAGUGAGGAAUAUUGGUCGAUGGAGGCAACUCUGAACCAGCCAAGUCGCGUGAAAGGAUGAAGGUCUUAUGGAUUGUAAACUUCUUUUGCAAGGGAAUAAAGUGGGGGACGUGUCCUCCUUUGCAUGUACCUUGCGAAUAAGGAUCGGCUAACUCCGUGCCAGCAGCCGC